GACGAACGCUGGCGGCGUGCUUAACACAUGCAAGUCGAACGGUAAGGCCCUUCGGGGUACACGAGUGGCGAACGGGUGAGUAACACGUGGGUGAUCUGCCCUGCACUUCGGGAUAAGCCUGGGAAACUGGGUCUAAUACCGGAUAGGACCACUGCCUGCAUGGGUGGUGGUGGAAAGCUUUUGCGGUGUGGGAUGGGCCCGCGGCCUAUCAGAUUGUUGGGGGGGUGAUGGCCUACCAAGGCGACGACGGGUAGCCAGCCUGAGAGGGUGAGCGGCCAAACUGGGACUGAGGUACGGCCCAGACUCCAACGGGAGGCAGCAGUGGGGAAUAUUGCAAAAUGGGCGCAAGCCUGAUGCAGCGACGCCGCGUGAGGGAUGACGGCCUUCGGGUUGUAAACCUCUUUCAGCACCGACGAAGCGCAAGUGACGGUAGGUGCAGAAGAAGGACCGGACAACUACGUGCCAGCCGCCGCAGUAA
RNAcentral lists this ribosomal RNA (478 nucleotides) under uncultured bacterium. RNAcentral's name for it is "partial 16S ribosomal RNA". It matches the Rfam family "Bacterial small subunit ribosomal RNA", at positions 28 to 523 of the family's 1533-position model. The record is from RNAcentral.